RNAcentral lists this ribosomal RNA (468 nucleotides) under uncultured bacterium. Its description in RNAcentral is "partial 16S ribosomal RNA". It matches the Rfam family "Bacterial small subunit ribosomal RNA", at positions 28 to 507 of the family's 1533-position model. The record is from RNAcentral.
GACGAACGCUGGCGGCGUGCUUAACACAUGCAAGUCGAACGGAAAGGCCCUGCUUUUGUGGGGUGCUCGAGUGGCGAACGGGUGAUUAACACGUUAGUAACCUGCCCUUGACUUUGGUAUAACUUCAGGAAACUGGGGCUAAUACCGGAUAGGAGCUCCUGCUGCAUGGUGGGGGUUGGAAAGUUUCGGCGGUUGGGGCUGGACUCGCGGCUUAUCAGCUUGUUGGUGGGUUAGUGGCUUACCAAGUCUUUGACGGGUAGCCGGCCUGAGAGGGUGACCGGAGACAUAGGGAUUGAGAUACGGAGCAGAGUAGUACGGGAGGCAGAAGUGGGGAAUAUCGAAAAAUGGGCGGAAGCAUGAUGCAGCCACUGAGCGUGCGGGAUGAGGGCCUGCGGGUUGUAAAGCGGGUUAGCUGGUGAUGAAGCGUGAGUGACGGUAAUGGGUAAAGAAGCACCGGCGAAAUACGUG